AAGGCUAUAUUUGAUUAUACUAUAAUCAUAAAAUUCUUAAUUUAUUCUACAAAAUCUACAUCGUCUACACAAAAUAAUAUCCCUUGGCUGCAAUACACUGUGCCAGCGUUAUUUCCAAUCCUCGAAACAGUUGUUGAAGUCAAUUUCCGGAAUAGCCUUCAAUUCGCGUAGCGAUUCACGUUUAAUAACUUCAAUUGUCUCAAAAAGGGGUCCCACUGGCGGUCGUUUGAGUUUGCUGAAUAGCCAGAUGUUACGCGGAGCUAAAUCAAGCGAACAGUGUGGCUGCUGCACAAUAUUGGUUGAGAUUUUGGCGAAAAACUCACGACGAAUCAAUGCAGUAUGCGACGGUGAAUUAUCAUGGUGCAAAAACUAAGAGUUUUGGGCCCAUAACUCCGGCCUCUUUUUACGAAAAGCUUCACGCAAACGACACAUAACACUCAAAUAGUAUUCCUUGUUGACAGUUUGGCCGGUCGGAAGGAAUUCGGAGUACACCAGACAUCGAUAAUCGAAGAAAACUGUCAACAUAGCCUUGAUUUUUGACCUGUUUUGAGGUAGUUUUUCUGCUUCGCCUCAUCUUUACCAUGAUAUUCGCCCGUUGAUUUUCUGUCUCCGUGUGGUAAGCAUAGAUCCAAGACUCCUCGCCAGUAAUAAUAUAUUUCAUGACAAUCUGGUAGUUGGAAAUCAUAGUUUAUAGACGGUAAUGCGACGCUGUUUUUCGAAAAAAUUUGGUGAUUUUUGAAACCCAAAAUGGUUUUCUCUGAUCCUUCCGAUAUUCCAACGAUAUAUUUGAUGUUGAUGGCCGUCCCGGACUUGGUUCGUCGUGAUCGUGUUCUCAACACUCUUUGAAUAAAUUGUACUAAUUAAAAACACUUGCUGGACGUUUCGGCACCAGAAAUGCGAUUCCGCAUAUAAAAUUAAAUGGAACGUCUUUGUUGAAUAAUUUCACUUUUAAGCACUGAUGAUUAUUUAGAUGUGAUA
Long non-coding RNA from Bactrocera dorsalis (oriental fruit fly), 978 nucleotides. RefSeq lists it as uncharacterized. NCBI's taxonomy places the organism in Eukaryota, Metazoa, Arthropoda, Insecta, Diptera, Tephritidae. The transcript has 2 exons. The record is from RefSeq and is a predicted model, not a curated record.